Molecule: long non-coding RNA, 3894 nt
Organism: Panicum virgatum (switchgrass)
Lineage: Eukaryota; Viridiplantae; Streptophyta; Magnoliopsida; Poales; Poaceae
Exons: 14
Source: RefSeq, a predicted model, not a curated record
UGAAAUUGGACGACCCAGGGCAAAAGGCUUCAACGCGCCGCGGGCUUCAACGCGCGCGAGUCCCAGUACCCCACCCCGCCCGCGCAGGUUCGAAUCCCUCGCUCGCUCGCUCCGUCUUCCUAUUUCGACCAAAAAAAACCCACGCUCCCUCGCUAGGGUUGAGUUCGUCGGUGGCCUGCUCGCACAGCUCCCGCACGCACGCGCGGCCGAGCGCCGCCGGUGGCCUGCUCGCACAGCUCUCGCACGCACGCGUCGGGAGGUCGCGCGCGCGGCCUGGGGAGCCCUGCCGGCGGCCCAAUCGCGUGCCUCCCGCACGCGCCGGGGGAGCUGUCGGCACGGCUGGCGGAGGUCGCGGGUCGGUGGCCGGAGAGGGGCGUACGGCGGCGAUGAGGCGGCCGGAGAGGGGCGUACGGCGGCGAUGAGGCGGCCGGAGAGGGGCGCACCGUGGCGAGGCAGGUCUCACAGCCGUGCCUUCUCCUCCCUCUCCUCUCUCCGUCUCCACUCCUCUCUCCAUCCCUCUCCUCUCGCGUCUCCCCCUCUCUCUCCCCUCCGAAUCCGGCGACCGGCGAGGCGAGAGCACGGCGGCCGGCGGCCGGUUCCGGGGGCCGGCGGCGUUGCUACGACGCGGCCGCCGAUGCGCAGAUCUGCCUCCGGGCGGGGCCGCUGGCAGCACGACGAUGAGCAGGGGGCCCCACAAGUCCCAACAUCGGCAAGCUCCCUAGCUUUGGCGCCCACCUCCAGCUCGCCGGAGAUGGUCGGAUUUGGUGGAUCCGGUUCCCCUCUACCUCUCCCGCCCCCUUCUUCUUCCUUAUCCAUGGGAAAAGUUGUUCCUAUGGUUGGAUUGUCUCGCCAGCUUUUGAUGGCGGCGCAGGGAGCGUCCGCGGCGCUCCUUCCUUGGCGGCCGGAGUCGCAGCCGCGGCCGGCCCCGCGGCCCCCCUGGUUGGCUCCUUGGGCGCGGACGCUCAGGCCUCCGCCGUGGCCAACCCUGCAGCCCGUCGCCGUGGCGUAGGUGGUCAGGCCUCGGAAACCUGAAAUGUACAUUGCCCGUGAGUGCAAUGUACACCAUGAUUUCCAUGUGGGUUUACUGGUACUGACUUGUGACUUGCGUGAGAAGCAUUCGAGGUCUUGGAAUCGUCAGACGUAAGCUGACUGAGAGUGGAGAUCCCUUCUCCUUUCUCUAUUCGAUUUUUUUUUCAAUCAAUUAUUUCUUCUUUCUCCUUUCGUUCUGUACAAGAUUCAGGGAUUGGAGUCUGAGCGAGAGCAGCAGGGCCAUUUGAUUCACUGUCAACUCUGUGUGGCCAAGGGUGAGUUGCAAAUGGCGUCUGACUCAUUCAAGAUUGUGUUGGAUGAAGAUGGAAACAAUGUAUCUGAAGCUAAGCUUCCAGAGUAUCCACAGAAGACUGAAGCAUUGCAUGAACAUUUGCAGUUUUGUUAGCGAACACAUCAAAACUUUGGAGGAAAUCGAUGUGGAGUACAAGGAGUUAGCUUUAGAAUCUAGCAUCGAUUCAACAAUUUGCAUGUCAGAUAUUCAUUCAAAUGUCUAACUGAACCUAUGGAACAAGAAUUGAAAUCUUGCCUUUUUCAUUUUAUCAUCUGAUAUCCAGUUUUCUAAGUUAUAGUAUAUCAUUUUUUCUUUAGAGGAGUUCAUUUCCAAGUUAAAGAAAAAAUUGCAGUAGACCCUUUUAUGUUUGGAGGAUACAAGUGUUCAUUUCCAAGUUAAAGAAACGUUGCAUGAGCAUCCCCUGUGUUUGUGGAAAAUGCAAUAUGAACUUUUACAUAGAUUUAAUAUUUGCAUGUCAGGGGCUCAGCAACAAGCAGCAAUCUGCCAAUCUGACAGGUCAUCAGGGGCUCAAGAAUGUCACUUGCCAUUACCGAGAGCAUGGGUGGAGGCCUCCAGGAGAUGCAGUGCUGGCAUGCCCGUGGAGUGGAGGUCGCCGUGGGGACGCAAACGCCAUAUGGAAUGUAGGUUAGCUGUUUGAGGAAAUGCUCGAGGAUCAAUCGGCGAUUGUGCCAACAAGCUUGCAGUUUAUAAUGAUGGAUAUUUGGAUGGUGGCAAAAAAUCUCAUGCUUUCAUUGCUUGCAGAGGAUGUCAAGCACUUGCAUGCUACAAGCAUUUGUCCCUGGUAGCCGUGCUGUCAUCCUGUCACAGUUUGGGUGGUGGUGAUAUGAUGGUAUGCAACCAGGGUAGCCACUAGCCAGCCAUUAUCAAUCCCAAAUACCAUUUGGAGCAGCCAUGCAGCUAGGAGCAAGGUUGCUUCUGCAACAUCAACUAUGAAGUCAGUGUUUUUGCAAGAGGUUCAAAUGCAGGAUAGGAUCCAGCCGCGGCCGGCGGCUCCGCCGCGACAAGGACGAGCUCCCCUCCGACAGCACCUCCGGCUCCGACUUUAUCGCCGACUCCGAGGACCAGGUGGGAGACGACGACGACAAGGGGUUCGCGCCCGAUGAGGACGCCCCGCCCGCGAUGGCUGCGCCGCCACCCCGCCGAUGCUGAUGCCGGUGGGGGGUGCCGAAUCGGGCGCGGAACUGCGCUCCUCCGCUGCACGCGGUGACCCGCCGCUGCAGGCCCUCAACCAGAUCUAGAAUCGGGAGGGGCGGGGGCGGAGAUCCAGGGCGGGGACGCGCCGUGCUGCCUCGCCUGCCCGCGCAGGAGCCGCGUUGCUCACCCGAGCGCGAGCAGCCGCGUGCCCCCACCCCUCCCGACGGCAGCCGUGUGCAGGCCCUCCGCUGGCCGCGGCCCUCCGCUGGCCGCGCGGCCGUGCGCAGGCACAUGGUGCCCCGCCACUGCAGCCGCGCCCUUCUGCUUGCCUGCAUGCACGCCCCGCCGGCCACGCGCCCUGCAGCGUGCGCUCCUCCGGGACUCCCGCAGCUGUGUACACGAUAUGGACGGGCUCAACAAGUACUUCGCCGUCCGGGAGACCGGGACUUCCACAGCUGGGUUUUCAUCUUCUCCGCCGUGGGUGACAUGCUGCUCAAGCUGGGAAGCCGGUGCCUCCGGUUAGUCACAGCCAAAGCAGUAUGCGUGGAGCCGCAUCCCAGCAGGCAAGAUGGGGACUUUUCUCUCUGCGUGAGCACCUGCAGCACAAUGGAACGUAUCUGCUCGUGUGAGAAGGUUUAGGUUGUUUAGGAGAAGAGAAGAACACCAAGCAAGCAGCUAAUUGUUAGGGUAACAGCAAUUAGCUCAUUCACCGCAUCGAGCUUGGCUGGUCAUGUACUAAUUAUUUUUCAAAGGGACAUGCUCUUGUGAACAAGUUAGUGGAAGCAUGCAUCAAACCUCGCAAGCUAUGAGCAACAGGAUGCACAUGAAUUUUUUAUCUCCAUACUUGACCAUAUCCAUGAAAAUAUAAAGGAUGAUCAGCACAAGUCACAUGCCCAAGGCCAUGGGACUGUUACAUUGCCCACAAAGUGUUUUCUGGUGCGCAAUGGGGAACGGGGUUUGGCUGAGAGACUUGAUGCUGAUUAAAAGUUAUGCUGUGAACACUGAGAUGAGAGGCAAGAAUCCCUGAAGCAAACGUCCAUUCGCAGGCUUCCAUUAGUUUCCUGCUUUCACAUAAAGAGAUUUGAGCACUGCUGAGCAAAAGUUCAGUUUCAUUUGAUGAUAUUUAUUGGUAGCCUUUUCACAACCUUGACAAAGACAUAUACAAAGAUGAAGCCAUAUGAAUAUGGAUUCCGUGUGUUAUUGUUGAUAUUCUGUUAUGUUAUGGUCUCACUGGGAAGUUCACUGAUACAGCUACAAGCAGAUUUAUAUUGAUUGCUCUUUGUCUAGCAAUUCUUAAGAUGAUACAUCAAAAUUAAAUGUAUGAUCCCAUAAAGUUGUGAUUUUACUCUAUGCAUAUGGUUGUCCUUUGUGUAAAGCAAAUAUUUUUCAGUUUGAACUAUGGAACAAAUUAUGGAUCA